CCUACGGGCGGCAGCAGUGAGGAAUAUUGGUCAAUGGGCUUACGCCUGAACCAGCCAAGUCGCGUGAGGGAAGACUGCCCUAUGGGUUGUAAACCUCUUUUGUCAGGGAGCAAUUGGCGCUACGUGAAGCGUUAUCGAGAGUACCUGAAGAAAAAGCAUCGGCUAACUCCGUGCCAGCAGCCGCGGUAAUACGGGGAUGCGAGCGUUAUCCGGAUUUAUUGGGUUUAAAGGGUGCGUAGGCGGAAUGCAAAGUCAGCGGUAAAAUCGCGGGGCUCAACCUCGCUCUGCCGUUGAAACUGGCGGUCUUGAGUGCGCAAGGAGUAGGCGGAAUGCGUGGUGUAGCGGUGAAAUGCAUAGAUAUCACGCAGAACUCCGAUUGCGAAGGCAGCAUACCGGCGCCCAACUGACGCUGAAGCACGAAAGCGCGGGUAUCGAACAGGAUUAGAUACCCUGGUAGUC
RNAcentral lists this ribosomal RNA (459 nucleotides) under uncultured bacterium. RNAcentral describes it as "partial 16S ribosomal RNA". It matches the Rfam family "Bacterial small subunit ribosomal RNA", at positions 338 to 795 of the family's 1533-position model. The record is from RNAcentral.